Molecule: small nuclear RNA, 107 nt
Organism: Aotus nancymaae (Ma's night monkey)
Lineage: Eukaryota; Metazoa; Chordata; Mammalia; Primates; Aotidae
Source: Ensembl
GUGCUUGCCUCAGCAGCACAUAUACCAAAACUGAAACGAUACAGAAAAGAUUAGUAUGCUCCCUGCACAGGGAUGACAUGCAAAUUCUUAAAGCAUGCCAUAUUUAA